ACGAACGCUGGCGGCAUGCCUAAUACAUGCAAGUCGAACGAAUGCCUUCGGGUGUUAGUGGCGCACGGGUGCGUAACGCGUGGGAAUCUGCCCUUGGGUUCGGAAUAACAGUUGGAAACGACUGCUAAUACCGGAUGAUAUCGAAAGAUCAAAGAUUUAUCGCCCAGGGAUGAGCCCGCGUAGGAUUAGCUAGUUGGUGAGGUAAAGGCUCACCAAGGCGACGAUCCUUAACUGGUCUGAGAGGAUGAUCAGCCACACUGGGACUGAGACACGGCCCAGACUCCUACGGGAGGCAGCAGUAGGGAAUAUUGGACAAUGGGCGCAAGCCUGAUCCAGCAAUGCCGCGUGAGUGAUGAAGGCCUUAGGGUUGUAAAGCUCUUUUACCCGAGAUGAUAAUGACAGUAUCGGGAGAAUAAGCCCCGGCUAACUCCGU
This 433-nucleotide ribosomal RNA is filed under the name uncultured bacterium. RNAcentral's name for it is "bacterial SSU rRNA". It matches the Rfam family "Bacterial small subunit ribosomal RNA", at positions 29 to 506 of the family's 1533-position model. The record is from RNAcentral.